Molecule: ribosomal RNA, 511 nt
Filed under: Alburnoides bipunctatus (spirlin)
Lineage: Eukaryota; Metazoa; Chordata; Actinopteri; Cypriniformes; Leuciscidae
Description: partial 16S ribosomal RNA
Rfam family: Bacterial large subunit ribosomal RNA
Source: RNAcentral
CAGCCUGCCCAGUGACUACGGGUUCAACGGCCGCGGUAUUUUGACCGUGCAAAGGUAGCGCAAUCACUUGUCUCUUAAAUAGAGACCUGUAUGAAUGGCUAGACGAGGGCUUAACUGUCUCCCCCCUCCAGUCAGUGAAAUUGAUCUAUCCGUGCAGAAGCGGGUAUAAUUAUACAAGACGAGAAGACCCUUUGGAGCUUAAGGUACAAGAUUCAACCACGUUAAACGACUCUAUAAGAAGCAAGAACUUAGUGGCGAAUGAAACUUUACCUUCGGUUGGGGCGACCACGGAGGAAAAAGAAGCCUCCGAGUGGAUUGGGCCAAACCCCAAAGCCAAGAGAGACAUCUACAAGCCGCAGAACAUCUGACCAAAAAUGAUCCGGCUGAAAGGCCGAUCAACGAACCAAGUUACCCUAGGGAUAACAGCGCAAUCCUCUCCCAGAGUCCAUAUCGACGAGGGGGUUUACGACCUCGAUGUUGGAUCAGGACAUCCUAAUGGUGCAGCCGCUAU